CACGAACGCUGGCGGCAGGCCUAACACAUGCAAGUCGAGCGCGCCCUUCGGGGUGAGUGGCGGACGGGUGAGUAACGCGUGGGAACGUGCCCUUUUCUACGGAAUAGCCUCGGGAAACUGAGCGUAAUACCGUAUACGCCCUUCGGGGGAAAGAUUUAUCGGAAAAGGCUCGGCCCGCGUUGGAUUAGGUAGUUGGUGGGGUAAUGGCCUACCAAGCCGACGAUCCAUAGCUGGUUUGAGAGGAUGAUCAGCCACACUGGGACUGAGACACGGCCCAGACUCCUACGGGAGGCAGCAGUGGGGAAUCUUAGACUAUGGGGGCAACCCUGAUCUAGCCAUGCCGCGUGAGUGAUGAAGGCCUUAGGGGUGUAAAGCUCGUUCAGCUGGGAAGAUAAUGACGGUACCAGCAGAAGAAGCCACGGCUAACUCCGUG
RNAcentral lists this ribosomal RNA (433 nucleotides) under uncultured bacterium. Its description in RNAcentral is "partial 16S ribosomal RNA". It matches the Rfam family "Bacterial small subunit ribosomal RNA", at positions 29 to 507 of the family's 1533-position model. The record is from RNAcentral.